GAUGAACGCUGGCGGCGUGCCUAAUACAUGCAAGUCGAGCGAACAGACGAGGAGCUUGCUCCUCUGACGUUAGCGGCGGACGGGUGAGUAACACGUGGAUAACCUACCUAUAAGACUGGGAUAACUUCGGGAAACCGGAGCUAAUACCGGAUAAUAUAUUGAACCGCAUGGUUCAAUAGUGAAAGACGGUUUUGCUGUCACUUAUAGAUGGAUCUGCGCCGCAUUAGCUAGUUGGUAAGGUAACGGCUUACCAAGGCAACGAUGCGUAGCCGACCUGAGAGGGGGGUCGGCCACACUGGAACUGGGCCACGGUCCAGACGCCUGCGGGAGGCAGCAGUAGGGAAUCUUACGCAAUGGGCGAAAGCCUGGCGGAGCAACGCCACGUGAGUGAUGAAGGUCUUCGGAUCGUAAAACUCUGUUAUUAGGGAAGAACAAAUGUGUAAGUAACUAUGCACGUCUUGACGGUACCUAAUCAGAAAGCCACGGCUAACUACGUG
Molecule: ribosomal RNA, 497 nt
Filed under: uncultured bacterium
Lineage: Bacteria
Description: partial 16S ribosomal RNA
Rfam family: Bacterial small subunit ribosomal RNA
Source: RNAcentral